CCUACGGGUGGCUGCAGUGAGGAAUAUUGGUCAAUGGGCGGAAGCCUGAACCAGCCAAGUCGCGUGAGGGAAUAAGGCCCUACGGGUCGUAAACCUCUUUUGCCGGGGAGCAAGGGCGGGGACGUGUCCCGGCCCGGAGAUUACCCGGAGAAAAGGCAUCGCCAAAUUCCGUGCCAGCAGCCGCGGUAAUACGGAGGAUGCGACCGUUAUCCGGUUUUAUUGGUUUUAAGGGGUGCGUAGGCGGACUUUUAUGUCAGCGGUAAAUACUCGGGGCUAAACCCCGUACGGCCGUUGAAACUGGGGGCCUUGAGUGGGCGAGAAGAAGGCGGAAUGCGUGGUGUAGCGGUGAAAUGCAUAGAUAUCACGAAGAACCCCGAUUGCGAAGGCAGCCUUCCGGAGCCCUACUGACGCUGAGGCACGAAAGUGCGGGGAUCGAACAGGAUUAGAUACCCCAGUAGUC
Molecule: ribosomal RNA, 460 nt
Filed under: uncultured bacterium
Lineage: Bacteria
Description: partial 16S ribosomal RNA
Rfam family: Bacterial small subunit ribosomal RNA
Source: RNAcentral